This 273-nucleotide ribosomal RNA is filed under the name uncultured bacterium. RNAcentral's name for it is "partial 16S ribosomal RNA". It matches the Rfam family "Bacterial small subunit ribosomal RNA", at positions 523 to 796 of the family's 1533-position model. The record is from RNAcentral.
AUACGGAGGGUGCAAGCGUUAUUCGGAAUCACUGGGCGUAAAGGACGCGUAGGCGGGUUGGCAAGUCAGAUGUGAAAUCCUACAGCUUAACUGUAGAACUGCAUUUGAAACUGCUAACCUAGAGUAUGGGAGGGGGAGAUGGAAUUAGUGGUGUAGGGGUAAAAUCCGUAGAUAUCACUAGGAAUACCGAAAGCGAAGGCGAUUUCCUGGAACAUAACUGACGCUAAGGCGUGAAAGCGUGGGGAGCAAACAGGAUUAGAAACCCAGUAGUCC